Molecule: transfer RNA, 69 nt
Filed under: Protoblepharus medogensis
Lineage: Eukaryota; Metazoa; Chordata; Lepidosauria; Squamata; Scincidae
Description: tRNA-Trp
Source: RNAcentral
AGAAGUUUAGGUUACAUCAAACCAGUGGCCUUCAAAGCCACAAAAAAGGACCCACCUCCUUAACUUCUG